GACGAACGCUGGCGGCGUGCUUGACACAUGCAAGUUGAACGAUGAAAGAGGAGCUCGCUCCCUUGGAUUAGUGGCGAACGGGUGAGUAACACGUUAGCAAUCUGCCCCUGACUCCGGAAUAACUACGGGAAACUGUAGCUAAUACCGGAUAUGCGCCGAAAAGGCAUCUGUAUCGGUGGGAAAGAAUUUCGGUCAGGGAUGAGCUCGCGGCCUAUCAGCCUGUUGGUGAGGUAACGGCUCACCAAGGCGACGACGGGUAGCCGGCCUGAGAGGGUGACCGGCCACAUUGGGACUGAGAAACGGCCCCGACUCCUACUGGAGGCAGCAGUGGGGAUGAUUGCACAAUGAUCGCAAGCCUGAUGCAGCAACGCCGCGUAAGGGAUGACGGCCUUCGUGUUGUAAACCUCUUUUAGCAGAGAAGAAUCGAAAGUGAGGGUACAUGCAGAAAAGGCGAGGGCUAACUACGUG
This 468-nucleotide ribosomal RNA is filed under the name uncultured bacterium. RNAcentral's name for it is "partial 16S ribosomal RNA". It matches the Rfam family "Bacterial small subunit ribosomal RNA", at positions 28 to 507 of the family's 1533-position model. The record is from RNAcentral.